This 386-nucleotide ribosomal RNA is filed under the name uncultured soil bacterium. RNAcentral's name for it is "bacterial SSU rRNA". It matches the Rfam family "Bacterial small subunit ribosomal RNA", at positions 26 to 414 of the family's 1533-position model. The record is from RNAcentral.
AGAUUGAACGCUGGCGGAAUGCUUUACACAUGCAAGUCGAACGGCAGCACGGGGGCAACCCUGGUGGCGAGUGGCGAACGGGUGAGUAAUGUAUCGGAACGUGCCCAGUCGUGGGGGAUAACUAUCCGAAAGGAUAGCUAAUACCGCAUACGUCCUGAGGGAGAAAGCGGGGGACCUGCAAAGGCCUCGCGCGAUUGGAGCGGCCGAUAUCGGAUUAGCUAGUUGGUGGGGUAAAGGCUCACCAAGGCGACGGUCCGUAGCGGGUCUGAGAGGACGACCCGCCACACUGGAACUGAGACACGGUCCAGACUCCUACGGAGGCAGCAGUGGGGAAUUUGGACAAUGGGGGCAACCCUGAUCCAGCCAUUCCGCGUGAGUGAAGAAGG